UCUGUAGUGUUGAUAGAAAAAAAAAAGCAAAUGAACGAACGCGCGCACGCACGCGACGUCGUACUCGUACGCGCACGACGACACGACACCACGGGCGGGCGGCUCGUAUUUUAUUCUCGUCGCCGCACGGCGCCGGCCGCCCCGCCGGCAUGGGAACAGCGACAGGAGCUGCGCCGGGGCAUCACUCCCUCGAUUCUCCUCUUGGGAAAGGUCGAAGGGUGACCAAACCAGCACACCGACAGUGACAUUUCUGGGUGCUGGAGUGUCCGUCCGGCCGGUCGUCCCCGGUCCGGUUUUGGACUUUGGAGCACUACGGCAGUCCACUCAUGCUGAAUCAUCGACGUGUUGGGAUCGGAUCGGACUCAUCGGACACAAAAAAAAAAAAAACAAAACAAUGUGGGCACUUUGUAGUUUCGAAUUCGGACGUUUUCGGCGCGCCUUGGCAACACAAGCUACAGCUAGGAUUGUUGCCGUCAACGCGGGCGGGCGACAGAGAUUCUAAUUCCACAACCCAUGUACAGUACAGUAUGACGCUUGGCAGUUGGCAGGCCGGCGGAUGGUGGUGC
This 566-nucleotide long non-coding RNA is filed under the name Sorghum bicolor (sorghum). RNAcentral's name for it is "long non-coding RNA (SBIC_LNC003985)". Lineage: Eukaryota; Viridiplantae; Streptophyta; Magnoliopsida; Poales; Poaceae. The record is from RNAcentral.